CACAGAAAAAGAAACAGCAGUAUAUGUGGAAGAAAGCAAGAAAAAUCAACUGGCCUGGAACCUAAGACUUGUCCAAAGAUGUCACAGAGAGUAAAAUGAGAAAAAUCCAGUAGCCCGUGCCCAGAGCAGUUCCUCGUACCCAGCAGAAGGCUAACAAGCCCUGAGAUGAAUGAUGCUCUUCCCAAGGAAGGCAGAGGAGGCGACAGUCCAUUUGCGUUCUCUCCUCUGCAAGUACAGGAUCUCGUUUGAUUCUCAAAACCACCCUAGAGGAGACAGGAGGCACCUGAGGCCCAGAGACGUGAAGCCACCUGUCCAAGGCCAUACAGCAGAUAACUUAUUCUGGAGGAAGACACCUGCCAUGCCGUGAGGACAGUCAAGCAGUUCUGUGGAGAGAUCCAUGUGGUGAGAAACAGGGGCCUCCUGUCAACAGGAAGAACAACCUGGCAGGCCUGUCUUGGAUUCAGAGCCUCCAGCCCCAGUCGAGCCUUCAGAUAACUGCACCCUUGGCUGUCAUCUCAACUGCAAUCUCACGACAGACCCUGAGCUGGAACUACUCUGUUUACCAAUGCCUGGCCCACAGAAAGACUAUGAGAUAAAACAAGUAUAUUGUUUUUAGAAGAUAUGUUUUGGAGUAAUUUAUUAUGCUACAAUAGAUAAUACAGAAUUUGGUGAUUUUAUGAUUCUCAACUCCUGGCCAAAGCAAAGCACACAACAAGUCUCAAAGAAAAGUCUCACAAGUGGAAUUGAAAGUACAAAGCUGGCCAGACAAGCUUGUGCAGACAUGUAUGUGGUGGAGUUGAAAAUCACACACUACGACUCACACAAGUGAGUAAAACCUGCGUCUUUCUUAAUUUUUCUUGUACUCUUCUCAUCUAGAUCUAAUGAGAUACUUCCUGCUGUUGACAGGCAAUAAAUGAAUGAACGACAAAAACAAAACAAAAA
RNAcentral lists this long non-coding RNA (942 nucleotides) under Homo sapiens (human). Its description in RNAcentral is "non-protein coding lnc-HAAO-7:13". The record is from RNAcentral. Lineage: Eukaryota; Metazoa; Chordata; Mammalia; Primates; Hominidae.